Molecule: long non-coding RNA, 346 nt
Organism: Melanotaenia boesemani (Boeseman's rainbowfish)
Lineage: Eukaryota; Metazoa; Chordata; Actinopteri; Atheriniformes; Melanotaeniidae
Exons: 3
Source: RefSeq, a predicted model, not a curated record
UCUGUCAGGAAUCCUGAUGCUGGUUCCCAUAGCCUGGACGUGCCAUCACACGAGUCAGCCACUGGAGGGUGCUGUGCUGCUGAGGAGAGACUGGGGGCCUGCCCUGUAUCUUGGAUGGAUCUCCUUUGCCUUGAUGGUGGCCGGUGGGGCGUUUCUGACCACCAGAUGCCCCACAGCUGAAAGCCGAGCGGAGCAACCUGAAAACAGCAGCUGAGAACCUCCAGAGAACCACGGCCUUUGGUCUCGCAGCGGAUCAGCUCAUCGAUCUCCCUGAAGCAGCCGGGGUCCACCAGACACACCUGAGCGUGAUGAAGAUUUCACACAGUAGAAAGUCUAUUGCAGAUGU